This 478-nucleotide ribosomal RNA is filed under the name uncultured bacterium. RNAcentral describes it as "partial 16S ribosomal RNA". It matches the Rfam family "Bacterial small subunit ribosomal RNA", at positions 28 to 523 of the family's 1533-position model. The record is from RNAcentral.
GACGAACGCUGGCGGCGUGCUUAACACAUGCAAGUCGAACGGUAAGGCCCUUCGGGGUACACGAGUGGCGAACGGGUGAGUAACACGUGGGUGAUCUGCCCUGCACUUCGGGAUAAGCCUGGGAAACUGGGUCUAAUACCGGAUAGGACCACUGCCUGCAUGGGUGGUGGUGGAAAGCUUUUGCGGUGUGGGGUGGGCCCGCGGCCUAUCAGCUUGUUGGUGGGGUGAUGGCCUACCAGGGGGACGCCGGGUAGCCGGCCUGAGAGGGUGACCGGCCACACUGGGACUGAGAUCCGGCCCAGACUCCUACGGGAGGAAGCAGUGGGGAAUAUUGCACAAUGGGCGCAAGCCUGAUGCAGCGACGCCGCGUGAGGGAUGACGGCCUUCGGGUUGUAAACCUCUUUCAGCACCGACGAAGCGCAAGUGACGGUAGGUGCAGAAGAAGGACCGGCCAACUACGUGCCAGCCGCCGCGGUAA